Molecule: long non-coding RNA, 229 nt
Filed under: Vigna radiata
Lineage: Eukaryota; Viridiplantae; Streptophyta; Magnoliopsida; Fabales; Fabaceae
Description: long non-coding RNA (VRAD_LNC004473)
Source: RNAcentral
UAGGGGCCAGUGUAGAAACUGGGCUUAUGGGCCNNNNNNNAAACUGGGCUUAUGGGCCAGACGAAACUGGGCUUAGGGGCCAGUGUAGAAACUAGGCUUAUGGGCCAGACAAAACUGGGCUUAUGGGCCAGACGAAACUGGGCUUAUGGGCCAGUGUGAAACUGGGCUUAGGGGGCUAGUGUAGAAACUGAGCUUAGGGGCCAGUGUGGAAACUGAGCUUAUGGGCCAG